AGACCCGAAACCCGGUGAUCUAGCCAUGGGCAGGUUGAAGGUUGGGUAACACUAACUGGAGGACCGAACCGACUAAUGUUGAAAAAUUAGCGGAUGACCUGUGGCUGGGGGUGAAAGGCCAAUCAAACCGGGAGAUAGCUGGUUCUCCCCGAAAGCUAUUUAGGUAGCGCCUCGUGAAUUCAUCUCCGGGGGUAGAGCACUGUUUCGGCUAGGGGGCCAUCCCGGCUUACCAACCCGAUGCAAACUGCGAAUACCGGAGAAUGUUAUCACGGGAGACACACGGCGGGUGCUAACGUCCGUCGUGAAGAGGGAAACAACCCAGACCGCCAGCUAAGGUCCCAAAGUCAUGGUUAAGUGGGAAACGAUGUGGGAAGGCCCAGACAGCCAGGAUGUUGGCUUAGAAGCAGCCAUCAUUUAAAGAAAGCGUAAUAGCUCACUGGUCGAGUCGGCCUGCGCGGAAGAUGUAACGGGGCUAAACCAUGCACCGAAGCUGCGGCAGCGACACUCAGGUGUCGUUGGGUAGGGGAGCGUUCUGUAAGCCUGCGAAGGUGGCCUGUGAGGGUUGCUGGAGGUAUCAGAAGUGCGAAUGCUGACAUAAGUAACGAUAAAGCGGGUGAAAAGCCCGCUCGCCGGAAGACCAAGGGUUCCUGUCCAACGUUAAUCGGGGCAGGGUGAGUCGACCCCUAAGGCGAGGCCGAAAGGCGUAGUCGAUGGGAAACGGGUUAAUAUUCCCGUACUUGGUGUUACUGCGAAGGGGGGACGGAGAAGGCUAUGUUGGCCGGGCGACGGUUGUCCCGGUUUAAGCGUGUAGGUGUGUGUUCCAGGUAAAUCCGGUUCACUUUAACACUGAGGCGUGACGACGAGGCACUACGGUGCUGAAGCAACAAAUGCCCUGCUUCCAGGAAAAGCCUCUAAGCAUCAGGUAACAUCAAAUCGUACCCCAAACCGACACAGGUGGUCAGGUAGAGAAUACCAAGGCGCUUGAGAGAACUCGGGUGAAGGAACUAGGCAAAAUGGUGCCGUAACUUCGGGAGAAGGCACGCUGACAUGUAGGUGAAGUGAUUUACUCAUGGAGCUGAAGUCAGUCGAAGAUACCAGCUGGCUGCAACUGUUUAUUAAAAACACAGCACUGUGCAAACACGAAAGUGGACGUAUACGGUGUGACGCCUGCCCGGUGCCGGAAGGUUAAUUGAUGGGGUCAGCGCAAGCGAAGCUCCUGAUCGAAGCCCCGGUAAACGGCGGCCGUAACUAUAACGGUCCUAAGGUAGCGAAAUUCCUUGUCGGGUAAGUUCCGACCUGCACGAAUGGCGUAAUGAUGGCCAGGCUGUCUCCACCCGAGACUCAGUGAAAUUGAACUCGCUGUGAAGAUGCAGUGUACCCGCGGCAAGACGGAAAGACCCCGUGAACCUUUACUAUAGCUUGACACUGAACAUUGAGCCUUGAUGUGUAGGAUAGGUGGGAGGCUUUGAAGUGUGGACGCCAGUCUGCAUGGAGCCGACCUUGAAAUACCACCCUUUAAUGUUUGAUGUUCUAACGUGGACCCGUGAUCCGGGUUGCGGACAGUGUCUGGUGGGUAGUUUGACUGGGGCGGUCUCCUCCUAAAGAGUAACGGAGGAGCACGAAGGUUGGCUAAUCCUGGUCGGACAUCAGGAGGUUAGUGCAAUGGCAUAAGCCAGCUUGACUGCGAGCGUGACGGCGCGAGCAGGUGCGAAAGCAGGUCAUAGUGAUCCGGUGGUUCUGAAUGGAAGGGCCAUCGCUCAACGGAUAAAAGGUACUCCGGGGAUAACAGGCUGAUACCGCCCAAGAGUUCAUAUCGACGGCGGUGUUUGGCACCUCGAUGUCGGCUCAUCACAUCCUGGGGCUGAAGUAGGUCCCAAGGGUAUGGCUGUUCGCCAUUUAAAGUGGUACGCGAGCUGGGUUUAGAACGUCGUGAGACAGUUCGGUCCCUAUCUGCCGUGGGCGCUGGAGAACUGAGGGGGGCUGCUCCUAGUACGAGAGGACCGGAGUGGACGCAUCACUGGUGUUCGGGUUGUCAUGCCAAUGGCACUGCCCGGUAGCUAAAUGCGGAAGAGAUAAGUGCUGAAAGCAUCUAAGCACGAAACUUGCCCCGAGAUGAGUUCUCCCUGAGACUUAGAGUCUCCUGAAGGAACGUUGAAGACGACGACGUUGAUAGGCCGGGU
RNAcentral lists this ribosomal RNA (2180 nucleotides) under Salmonella enterica subsp. enterica serovar Oranienburg. Its description in RNAcentral is "partial 23S ribosomal RNA". It matches the Rfam family "Bacterial large subunit ribosomal RNA", at positions 711 to 2866 of the family's 2925-position model. The record is from RNAcentral. Lineage: Bacteria; Pseudomonadati; Pseudomonadota; Gammaproteobacteria; Enterobacterales; Enterobacteriaceae.